UUAGGCUUGCAUGACCCCCUCUUGAGUAAUUUGUUGGUUGAAUGGAUCUUUGAAAGAGGGAUUUGUAUGGGCUCUUUUGUAUGCAAAGUUUCUAUCCUGCUGAGAAAAGCAAACAUCUAAUUGAAUCACUUGCUUUUGCAAUCUGUAUUGUCUUUAAUUAAUUAUCUUUUCUUCUACGUUGCCUUUCAGUGGAACUUAAAUCAUAUUUAAAAUAUUUUGAACAUUGUAACUUCUUUUCUAGUGGUAUUAAUAUUUGUGACUGCAUGUUUAAACUAUGCAAAGGUUACUUGGUUGUGGAAACUUAAUUUUUCUUUUGCUUUCAUGCUAAUUUUAUUUUGUAAUUAAAAAUUUUAAUGAGCUAUUGAAGAUAUCAUUUAAUGGAUAAUGGCUUAAAAAUCAAGGGAAUAAAAACAUAUUAGUAUUUGUCUUCGCAUAUGAUGAUGCUGUUGUUGCUUGAAAUGGCAUUGUCUAAACCUGUAUUCGUUUCCUUGGCUGAAGCUGACAUACUGCCGACAAAGUUGAUAAGGAAUUUAUGUUCAUAUAUUCUUUUAUGGGGAAAUCUGAUGCCAGAUAUAUUCACUGUUAAUUAGUGUUGACACUGGCAAGUGGGGAAAAAGUGUUAUAAUGGCAAGAGGAGAAAUAAAGUCAUGAAAAAUUUUAGAUAAGCAAUAUUAGAAGAGUACAAGGAAAAAAUGAUAUUACCACUUCAGAUUGGGAAUUCUGAAAGGCCCCCUUUACAAAAGCUUAUGGCUUAAGCUCAUCAACUUAAUCGUCAGAAACAGCAGGCCAACCUUAAUUACAGAAGUUCAGAAAUCAUUGUAGGCAGAUCUAAUGGUUAGUUUUGUUGUAAAUUGAAAACUUGUUUAUGAUAUGAGAUAUAUUGUUUACUCUUCUGGAAACUUUUAGGUGACAUGGAAUCUAUGACUCCUUAUCUCCAUCAUGGGGAACAAUCAGAGAAAUGGUUUAUAUUCCAUUAUAUGAUAAAUUUCAAUUCUUUGGGCACUGUAUCCUACUUCCUCACAAAACAAAGUUUGAAAAAGAAACGGUAGGGAAAAAAAUAAUUAAAAAGGAAAAGAAAAAUAUAAAGAACUUUAAGUCAAGGCAAAUAACAACCAUGCUACAUAAACAUCUUGAUUGGGGAUGUUAAUAAGGAGCAAUUAAUUCUGGGCAUUUCAUUCAGGUCCUAAAUCUAAGACCAAUCCAACCAAAUCCAAUAGGCCUAAUCCUGUCCCGACCUAGUCUGACCAUAUUUUUCCCUUGCCUACUGAACCUGACCUUCCCAACCUGAAAAGGGGAAAAGAAAAAGGGAAAAAGGGCAAAAAGUAUGAGCAUGAAAGCAAAGUUGUGCCUCUUUGUAGAACAUCAAAUAUUACCCUGUUAUCUGCAAAUCCUAAAUAAUGUCACUUUUACUUCAGGAAUUUCUGAAGAAACAAGAAUAGUUAGAACUACACUGUUAUCAUAGAAUAGAAAUGGCCGGUACUUUUUCCUAUUUUCAUUUAUGAAGAUUAUCGAGCUCUUCCGACUCUUUAUAGGAUCAUGAGAUAUGGUGAGGGUGGUGGUGCUUGGCCUUAAAUUACUAGUAGGGCUGCAAUCGAGCCGAGCUGAGCCGAAUAGUUAAAAGCUCGCGCUGGACUCAAUUCAAAUUAUUUGGACUCGAAACUUGACUCGAGACAAAGCUAAUAAUAUCUUCAUGUUAAUAACUUUCCGAGAAGGAGGAGAACCUGUUGAAGAUUGAUUGCCAAAGCUUCAUACAAGUAGCUAAUCUUUCCCCAUUUCACUACGCAAAGGGGGGAAUAGAAUAGAUUGAGACGCAUGGAUAUUGAACUAGAGAAGGUUAGUAAUAUUAUAUAUUUUAUAUUUUUCUCGUUUUGAAGAUUAAAUUGUCUCUUCUAUAUCAUCCAGGUUUAGUAAUAUAUUAAGAUGCUAACCCUCAAAACGUGUGAAUUAAUAAGAAUAUGCACUGGUAAAGUAAACUUUUACGACGUUGAUGUAAAACUACAAUAAAUUGGCCAUGCUGCGCUAUCCCGAACAAAGGGGAGGAGAUAUCCUAAACUAAAUGGGAAUAGGCUAAACCAUGGCACCUCCAAAGAAUCUCCACACUCUCUAAGCCGAGAAGCAGCUGAAAACGAUAUCCUCCUUUGUCCCGGCCCCCACCAACUUGCCACCCUUCUCCCUCCCGAACCCGGCCAUCCAAGCGUUCGUCGGCUUCUUCUCCUCGCCGGCCGAUUCCGAGACCACCUCCCGCCGUUUCCCAUCGUCGGCGGCCACCCGCAUCUGCCUCUCUCUCCGCCGUUUGAUCACGUAUUCCUCCGAGAUGUACACGUCCAUCGCCGAUUUGAAUUACCCACAAUGCCCUCCCCUGGUGCCUGUUAUAGCUCUUGCUAUAGCUAAGCAGGCAAAGUUAGGGAGGGCUCUGCAGCUGGUAGCAAUGUGGGGUAUGGCUUCGGA
This 2448-nucleotide long non-coding RNA is filed under the name Phoenix dactylifera (date palm). RNAcentral describes it as "long non-coding RNA (PDAC_LNC002527)". Lineage: Eukaryota; Viridiplantae; Streptophyta; Magnoliopsida; Arecales; Arecaceae. The record is from RNAcentral.